UCAGGAUGAACGCUAGCGACAGGCUUAACACAUGCAAGGUCGAGGGGCAGCAUAAAAGUAGCAAUACUUGGUGGCGACCGGCGCACGGGUGAGUAACGCGUAUGCAACCUACCUAUCAGAGGGAAUAACCGGCGAAAGUCGGACUAAUACCGCAUAAAACAGGGGCACCGCAUGGUGAUAUUUGUUAAAGAAAUUCGCUGAUAGAUGGGCAUGCGUUCCAUUAGGUAGUUGGUGAGGUAACGGCUCACCAAGCCGACGAUGGAUAGGGGAACUGAGAGGUUGGUCCCCCACACUGGUACUGAGACACGGACCAGACUCCUACGGGAGGCAGCAGUGAGGAAUAUUGGUCAAUGGGCGGGAGCCUGAACCAGCCAAGUCGCCGUGAAGGAAGAAGGAUCUAUGGUUCGUAAACUUCUUUUGCAGGGGAAUAAAGUGCAGGACGUGUCCUGUUUUGUAUGUACCCUGAGAAUAAGGAUCGGCUAACUCCGUGCCAGCCGCCGC
Molecule: ribosomal RNA, 501 nt
Filed under: uncultured bacterium
Lineage: Bacteria
Description: bacterial SSU rRNA
Rfam family: Bacterial small subunit ribosomal RNA
Source: RNAcentral